RNAcentral lists this unclassified non-coding RNA (209 nucleotides) under uncultured Cortinariaceae. RNAcentral's name for it is "sequence contains ITS2". Lineage: Eukaryota; Fungi; Basidiomycota; Agaricomycetes; Agaricales; Cortinariaceae. The record is from RNAcentral.
AUAUAUCAACCUCUUCAGCUUUUUGUUGAGUGUUGGAUGUGGGGGGUUAUUAUUUCUUUUUGCUGGACUCUCUUGAGCUCAGCUCCCCUAAAAUGCAUUAGCAAAACAACUUGUUUACUGCUCAUUGGUGUGAUAACUAUCUACGCUAUUGACAGUGAAGCAUGGUUUAGCUUCUAACAGUCCAUUAACUUGGACAAACUCUUUUAUUA